Acanthosepion pharaonis is the source of this 112-nucleotide non-coding RNA. NCBI's taxonomy places the organism in Eukaryota, Metazoa, Mollusca, Cephalopoda, Sepiida, Sepiidae. The record is from the annotation of a GenBank genome assembly.
ACGGCCAUAUCACGUUGAAACAGCGGUUCUUGUACAAUCACCGAAGUUAAGCAACGUUGUGCCUGGUCAUUACCUAGACGGCUAACCUCUUGAGAAUACCAGGUGCUGUAGU